GCGGGACACGUGGUAUCCUGUCUGAAUAUGGGGGGACCAUCCUCCAAGGCUAAAUACUCCUGACUGACCGAUAGUGAACCAGUACCGUGAGGGAAAGGCGAAAAGAACCCCGGCGAGGGGAGUGAAAAAGAACCUGAAACCGUGUACGUACAAGCAGUGGGAGCCUCUUAAUGGGGUGACUGCGUACCUUUUGUAUAAUGGGUCAGCGACUUAUAUUCUGUAGCAAGGUUAACCGAAUAGGGGAGCCGAAGGGAAACCGAGUCUUAACUGGGCGUUAAGUUGCAGGGUAUAGACCCGAAACCCGGUGAUCUAGCCAUGGGCAGGUUGAAGGUUGGGUAACACUAACUGGAGGACCGAACCGACUAAUGUUGAAAAAUUAGCGGAUGACUUGUGGCUGGGGGUGAAAGGCCAAUCAAACCGGGAGAUAGCUGGUUCUCCCCGAAAGCUAUUUAGGUAGCGCCUCGUGAAUUCAUCUCCGGGGGUAGAGCACUGUUUCGGCAAGGGGGUCAUCCCGACUUACCAACCCGAUGCAAACUGCGAAUACCGGAGAAUGUUAUCACGGGAGACACACGGCGGGUGCUAACGUCCGUCGUGAAGAGGGAAACAACCCAGACCGCCAGCUAAGGUCCCAAAGUCAUGGUUAAGUGGGAAACGAUGUGGGAAGGCCCAGACAGCCAGGAUGUUGGCUUAGAAGCAGCCAUCAUUUAAAGAAAGCGUAAUAGCUCACUGGUCGAGUCGGCCUGCGCGGAAGAUGUAACGGGGCUAAACCAUGCACCGAAGCUGCGGCAGCGACACUAUGUGUUGUUGGGUAGGGGAGCGUUCUGUAAGCCUGUGAAGGUGGCCUGUGAGGG
RNAcentral lists this ribosomal RNA (851 nucleotides) under Escherichia coli. Its description in RNAcentral is "partial 23S ribosomal RNA". It matches the Rfam family "Bacterial large subunit ribosomal RNA", at positions 417 to 1269 of the family's 2925-position model. The record is from RNAcentral. Lineage: Bacteria; Pseudomonadati; Pseudomonadota; Gammaproteobacteria; Enterobacterales; Enterobacteriaceae.